Molecule: transfer RNA, 73 nt
Filed under: Pseudomonas phage phiK7A1
Lineage: Duplodnaviria; Heunggongvirae; Uroviricota; Caudoviricetes; Vandenendeviridae
Rfam family: tRNA
About the family: Transfer RNA (tRNA) molecules are approximately 80 nucleotides in length. Their secondary structure includes four short double-helical elements and three loops (D, anti-codon, and T loops). Further hydrogen bonds mediate the characteristic L-shaped molecular structure. tRNAs have two regions of fundamental functional importance: the anti-codon, which is responsible for specific mRNA codon recognition, and the 3' end, to which the tRNAs corresponding amino acid is attached (by aminoacyl-tRNA synthetases). tRNAs cope with the degeneracy of the genetic code in two manners: having more than one tRNA (with a specific anti-codon) for a particular amino acid; and 'wobble' base-pairing, i.e. permitting non-standard base-pairing at the 3rd anti-codon position.
Source: Rfam by way of RNAcentral
UGCGGGUUGGCCGAGUGGUUUUAGGCGCUGGACUUUGAAUCCAGUUACAAAUGUUCAAUUCAUUUACCCGCUG